RNAcentral lists this transfer RNA (71 nucleotides) under Loxodonta africana (African savanna elephant). It matches the Rfam family "tRNA". From Rfam's summary of the family: Transfer RNA (tRNA) molecules are approximately 80 nucleotides in length. Their secondary structure includes four short double-helical elements and three loops (D, anti-codon, and T loops). Further hydrogen bonds mediate the characteristic L-shaped molecular structure. tRNAs have two regions of fundamental functional importance: the anti-codon, which is responsible for specific mRNA codon recognition, and the 3' end, to which the tRNAs corresponding amino acid is attached (by aminoacyl-tRNA synthetases). tRNAs cope with the degeneracy of the genetic code in two manners: having more than one tRNA (with a specific anti-codon) for a particular amino acid; and 'wobble' base-pairing, i.e. permitting non-standard base-pairing at the 3rd anti-codon position. The record is from Rfam by way of RNAcentral. Lineage: Eukaryota; Metazoa; Chordata; Mammalia; Proboscidea; Elephantidae.
GCAGUGGUGGUUCAGUGGUAGAAUUCUCACCUUUCAUGUGAGAGAACUAGGUUUGUGUCCCAGUCAAUGAA